Molecule: long non-coding RNA, 257 nt
Filed under: Coffea arabica (coffee)
Lineage: Eukaryota; Viridiplantae; Streptophyta; Magnoliopsida; Gentianales; Rubiaceae
Description: long non-coding RNA (CARA_LNC006833)
Source: RNAcentral
GGGAGAGAUUAUAAUUAAAACAAGCAUGGAGGCUCUAAGGUAAUAUUUCCCACCCCAAAUGCAAAGCGCGAUACAAAUAAAUAAACAAACAAAAGUACAUAAAUAAACCAUUCAUCACAUACACGAGAAACGAUGAACGAAUACGAGUGUGAAGUGCAAAACAUCAUAAAAAAGAAAAAUAUAACCUAAAACAUCCAAAUAUGAUAAAUAAAAGGGUUAAAAAGAGAAAAGACAACUAGACCAAGUGCUUGGACUCU